AAGAGUUUUCGUAACUCCCAAACCCAUGUGAACUUACCUUCUGUUGCCUCGGCAGGUCGUGUCUACCCUGUGGUCGCCUACCCUGUAGGCGACUACCUGGUAGUCACGGGUUCGCCUGCCAGUGGCCCGUUAAAACACUGUUUAUUAUAUGUUAUUCUGAUUUUACAACUAAAUAAGUUA
RNAcentral lists this unclassified non-coding RNA (180 nucleotides) under uncultured Xylaria. RNAcentral's name for it is "sequence contains ITS1". Lineage: Eukaryota; Fungi; Ascomycota; Sordariomycetes; Xylariales; Xylariaceae. The record is from RNAcentral.